AACGAAGCAAUGUAACUACACCAAUACAACUCAAUGUGGUUGUUUACUUUAACUUUUCUGCAUCCAGUAUCUAAUGGCGGGUUUACAUUAGGGAGAUCUAUAGCUAUAGAUGGAUUUAUUCACGUGAAAAUAGGUGUAAACGGCAUAUGUAAACGCUUGUGAAUUUCUCACUGGUGAGAAAUCACUAAAGUUGGAUGCAGUUCUACUUUAGGUGAAUAAAUUCACCGAAAAUAUGAAUAUAUUCAUUAUAGAAGUUCACGCUAGUGUAAACGGUUGAUGCGAUUUCUAUAAAUCUCAUCAUAUUUCUUCACAUGAAUAUAUCACUAGUCUAAACCCACCCUAAAGGUCCAUUUAUACGUUGCUAGUAGCUGACUUCACAAUGAGCAGCUACUGACCCGGUGAACUCGCUUGACAAAUGGUUGACUCGCCUUGUCCGUUCACACAAUGUGAGCUGCUGGCAAGAAACUAGAUACUACGGCACGGGUUUACCAGAGAUGCCAGACGAUUUUUCAAAUGUUCAUCAAAUAGUCAGAAACAGCAAUCAGGUCCGAAUUUGUCAGAUGAGGAAAAUGAAAAUGAUAGUAGAUUUGCAGAAGGAACAAAUACGCCUCGAAAACUAAAAUAAUGAAGGAAAAUCUACUUUUUUAUAUCGAUUAUGUAUUCUGUUUCUUAGAACAAUACUUUUUUUUGCAAGUUGUGAGUGAAUUCUGAAUGAAAAUUGUGCCCGAUAAUGAUUUUAUAUUCAGAUUCCCAAUAAAGUUAUCUCAAAAAGAAAA
Molecule: long non-coding RNA, 776 nt
Organism: Toxorhynchites rutilus septentrionalis
Lineage: Eukaryota; Metazoa; Arthropoda; Insecta; Diptera; Culicidae
Exons: 2
Source: RefSeq, a predicted model, not a curated record